This 520-nucleotide ribosomal RNA is filed under the name uncultured Glomus. Its description in RNAcentral is "SSU rRNA". It matches the Rfam family "Eukaryotic small subunit ribosomal RNA", at positions 569 to 1091 of the family's 1831-position model. The record is from RNAcentral. Lineage: Eukaryota; Fungi; Glomeromycota; Glomeromycetes; Glomerales; Glomeraceae.
AGCAGCCGCGGUAAUUCCAGCUCCAAUAGCGUAUAUUAAAGUUGUUGCAGUUAAAAAGCUCGUAGUUGAAUUUCGGGGUUAGUAGGUUGGUCAUGCCUCUGGUAUGUACUGGUCUCACUGAUUCCUCCUUCCUGAUGAACCUUAAUGCCAUUAAUUUGGUGUUUUGGGGAAUUUGGACUGUUACUUUGAAAAAAUUAGAGUGUUUAAAGCAAGCUAACGCUUGAAUACAUUAGCAUGGAAUAAUGAAAUAGGACGUUCGAUCCUAUUUUGUUGGUUUCUAGGAUUGACGUAAUGAUUAAUAGGGAUAGUUGGGGGCAUUAGUAUUCAAUUGUCAGAGGUGAAAUUCUUGGAUUUAUUGAAGACUAACUACUGCGAAAGCAUUUGCCGAGGAUGUUUUCAUUAAUCAAGAACGAAAGUUAGGGGAUCGAAGACGAUCAGAUACCGUCGUAGUCUUAACCAUAAACUAUGCCGACUAGGGAUCGGAUGAUGUUAAUUUUUAAUGACUCAUUCGGCGCCUUAC